RNAcentral lists this ribosomal RNA (253 nucleotides) under uncultured bacterium. Its description in RNAcentral is "partial 16S ribosomal RNA". It matches the Rfam family "Bacterial small subunit ribosomal RNA", at positions 524 to 776 of the family's 1533-position model. The record is from RNAcentral.
UACAGAGGGGGCAAGCGUUGUUCGGAAUUACUGGGCGUAAAGGGCGCGUAGGCGGCCUGUUAAGUCGGACGUGAAAUCCCCGGGCUCAACCCGGGAACUGCGUCCGAUACUGGCAGGCUUGAAUCCGGGAGAGGGAUGCGGAAUUCCAGGUGUAGCGGUGAAAUGCGUAGAUAUCUGGAGGAACACCGGUGGCGAAGGCGGCAUCCUGGACCGGCAUUGACGCUGAGGCGCGAAAGCCAGGGGAGCAAACGGG